AUUGAACGCUGGCGGUAGGCCUAACACAUGCAAGUCGAGCGGAUGCAGGGAGCUUGCUCCUGGAUUCAGCUGCCGACGGGUGAGUAAUUCCUAGGUACCUGCCUAUCUGCGUGUGCUAACGUCCGAACACGGGCGCUCAUACCCCAUUCGUCCUUACGGACUACGUGUGGGAUCAUCGGAUCUCCCGCCCUUAGAUGAGCCGAUGUCGGAUUAGCUAGUUGGCGGGGUAAAGGCCUACCAAGGCGACGAUCCGUAGCUGGUCUGAGAGGAUGAUCAGUCACACUGGAACUGAGACACGGUCCAGACUCCUACGGGAGGCAGCAGUGGGGAAUAUUGGACAAUGGGCGCAAGCCUGAUCCAGCCAUGCCGCGUGUGUGAAGAAGGUCUUCGGGUUGUAAAGCCCUUUUGGUGGGGAAGAAAAGCAGUAGGUUAAUACCUUGCUGUUUUGACGGUACCCAAAGAAUAAGCACCGGCUAACUUCGUG
This 484-nucleotide ribosomal RNA is filed under the name uncultured bacterium. RNAcentral describes it as "partial 16S ribosomal RNA". It matches the Rfam family "Bacterial small subunit ribosomal RNA", at positions 30 to 507 of the family's 1533-position model. The record is from RNAcentral.